ACCACUGAGCCACUUUCCAGCCCUUUGAAAACUUAUUUGAGGGCUGGAGAGGUGGCUCAGUGGC
This 64-nucleotide microRNA precursor is filed under the name Mus musculus (house mouse). Its description in RNAcentral is "mir-3473 microRNA precursor family". The record is from Rfam by way of RNAcentral. Lineage: Eukaryota; Metazoa; Chordata; Mammalia; Rodentia; Muridae.